AUGAGGUCAUCAUCAUUUGUGAGGAGGCAGUUCACAAAAAACGAAGUGGGUAGUUGGUCAAUACUUAUCAUGAGGCACCGCUUUCUGUUAUCUGUUUUAGCUCUACUAACUAUCCUAUGUACAGUUUAUCUUUACUUUGCUAUUGCUUUUGGGUUCAAAGAUUCAUGUUCUGGGCUGAGUGGUCCUGAGAAAGAUUCUUGUCAUAUGAAGCUUGUUAAGAGUGAGAUGAGAAGUACUCCCACCAGACAUUUCUAA
Vicia faba (fava bean) is the source of this 255-nucleotide non-coding RNA. The record is from the annotation of a GenBank genome assembly. NCBI's taxonomy places the organism in Eukaryota, Viridiplantae, Streptophyta, Magnoliopsida, Fabales, Fabaceae.